UGGACUGGAUGUCUCUGGGUCUCCCUGUGGUACCUUUGGGUCCCUGCGAGCUAGAGACCUGAGGCGUCCUGUGGACGACCUGACCCAAUGUCUCCAGGGUCGGGAAGCGUCGCGGCCACGGGCUCCCCAGAGCCAGCAGCCGCGGGACACGGGCACACAACAGGAGAACAUGUUCGUCAGGCAAAGGUGUCCCAACGAAUGAGCCCAGUCGGGCGCUGUCUCCAGAAUAUUUCCCCAAUUUCCCGAGUGAUGAAAACCGUGACACUGCCUUUUGCUGUGUUCAUGGGUGGCUUUUGGACUCUACCUGAGAGGUAGGCUGGCUGCUGGGGGAGCCAACCCUGCGAUUGGAUGGCUGGAACUUUCCAUCCCCUGCCCCCACCUCUGGGGAGGGAGAGGGGCCGGAGACGGCGUUCAGUCCCCAGUGACCAGUGAUCCAAUCAAUCGUGCCCGUGUAAUGAAGCCUCCCCGAACGCCCAUCCGACUGGUGAACACGUGGAGAGAGCAGAGAGUGUGACAUACUCGGUUACUGUCACGGGGCCCGAGUGUGCACGGGCACUGGCUUCGAGGGUCCCAACAGACCAGGUUCGGCCACUCACCGCUGACAAAAGCCAAGGGCAGAGAGACACAGGAAAGGGUGGUGACUCAAGAAAGGAUCCAUUUCGGUGAGGCCGGCACCGGGAAGACAGGGGGCUGACAUCUCAAGGUGCUGCAGACAGUCCUGGUGGUGGUUCUCUCUCUUUUUCUUUCUUUUUUUAAUUU
Acinonyx jubatus (cheetah) is the source of this 759-nucleotide long non-coding RNA. RefSeq lists it as uncharacterized. The record is from RefSeq and is a predicted model, not a curated record. NCBI's taxonomy places the organism in Eukaryota, Metazoa, Chordata, Mammalia, Carnivora, Felidae. The transcript has 2 exons.